RNAcentral lists this unclassified non-coding RNA (326 nucleotides) under soil metagenome. RNAcentral describes it as "partial contains 5.8S ribosomal RNA, internal transcribed spacer 2, and large subunit ribosomal RNA". The stretch from base 1 to 120 matches the Rfam family "5.8S ribosomal RNA", at positions 35 to 154 of the family's 154-position model. The record is from RNAcentral.
GAUGAAGAACGCAGCGAAAUGCGAUAAGUAAUGUGAAUUGCAGAAUUCAGUGAAUCAUCGAAUCUUUGAACGCACAUUGCGCCCCUUGGUAUUCCGAGGGGCAUGCCUGUUCGAGCGUCAUUAUCACCCCUCAAGCUUUGCUUGGUGUUGGGGCCUGCUGUAAUAGGCAGCCCUUAAAAUCAGUGGCGGUGCUUCAAGGCUCUAAGCGUAGUAAUUCUCCUCGCUAUAGUGUCUAGUGGUUGCCAGCCAGAACCCCCCAAUUUUCAUGAUUGACCUCGGAUCAGGUAGGGAUACCCGCUGAACUUAAGCAUAUCAAUAAGCGGAGA